CGGUUUCUAUAAUGACAGUCGAGCGAUCUGAUGGGAGCUUGCUCCCUGAUGAUUAGCGGCGGACGGGUGAGUAACACGUGGGUAACCUGCCUGUAAGACUGGGAUAACUCCGGGAAACCGGGGCUAAUACCGGAUAACUUUUUUCUUCGCAUGAAGGAGAAUUGAAAGAUGGCUUCGGCUAUCACUUACAGAUGGACCCGCGGCGCAUUAGCUAGUUGGUGAGGUAACGGCUCACCAAGGCGACGAUGCGUAGCCGACUUGAGAGGGUGAUCGGCCACACUGGGACUGAGACACGGCCCAGACUCCUACGGGAGGCAGCAGUAGGGAAUCUUCCGCAAUGGACGAAAGUCUGACGGAGCAACGCCGCGUGAGUGAUGAAGGUUUUCGGAUCGUAAAACUCUGUUGUUAGGGAAGAACAAGUAUCGUUCGAAUAGGGCGGUACCUUGACGGUACCUAACCAGAAAGCCACGGCUAACUACGUGCCAGCAGCCGCGGUAAUACGUAGGUGGCAAGCGUUGUCCGGAAUUAUUGGGCGUAAAGCGCGCGCAGGCGGUUUCUUAAGUCUGAUGUGAAAUCUUGCGGCUCAACCGCAAGCGGCCAUUGGAAACUGGGAGACUUGAGUGCAGAAGAGGAGAGUGGAAUUCCACGUGUAGCGGUGAAAUGCGUAGAGAUGUGGAGGAACACCAGUGGCGAAGGCGACUCUCUGGUCUGUAACUGACGCUGAGGCGCGAAAGCGUGGGGAGCGAACAGGAUUAGAUACCCUGGUAGUCCACGCCGUAAACGAUGAGUGCUAAGUGUUAGAGGGUUUCCGCCCUUUAGUGCUGCAGCUAACGCAUUAAGCACUCCGCCUGGGGAGUACGGCCGCAAGGCUGAAACUCAAAGGAAUUGACGGGGGCCCGCACAAGCGGUGGAGCAUGUGGUUUAAUUCGAAGCAACGCGAAGAACCUUACCAGGUCUUGACAUCCUCUUUGACCUCCCUAGAAGAAAGGGAUUUCCCUUUCGGGGACAAGGAUUGACAGGUGGGUGCAUGGUUUGUCUUCAGCCUCUGGGCCGUGGAGAUGUUGGGGUUAAUUCCCCGCAACGAGCCGAACCCCUUGGACCUUAUAUUGCAAGCAUUUCAGUUGGGGCCCUCUAAAGGGGAACUGGCCGGUGGAACAACCCGGAAGGAAAGGUGGGGGGAUGGAGGUUCAA
This 1191-nucleotide ribosomal RNA is filed under the name Heyndrickxia oleronia. RNAcentral's name for it is "bacterial SSU rRNA". It matches the Rfam family "Bacterial small subunit ribosomal RNA", at positions 45 to 1189 of the family's 1533-position model. The record is from RNAcentral. Lineage: Bacteria; Bacillati; Bacillota; Bacilli; Caryophanales; Bacillaceae.